AAGUCGAACGAGAGCGACCGGUGCUUGCACUGGUCAAUCUAGUGGCGAACGGGUGAGUAACACGUGGGUAACCUGCCCAUCAGAGGGGGAUAACAUUCGGAAACGGAUGCUAAAACCGCAUAGGUUCUACAGUCGCAUGACUGAAGAAGGAAAAGAGGCUUCGGCUUCUGCUGAUGGAUGGACCCGCGGUGCAUUAGCUAGUUGGUGAGGUAACGGCUCACCAAGGCCGUGAUGCAUAGCCGACCUGAGAGGGUGAUCGGCCNNNNNN
Granulicatella elegans ATCC 700633 is the source of this 268-nucleotide ribosomal RNA. It matches the Rfam family "Bacterial small subunit ribosomal RNA", at positions 59 to 350 of the family's 1533-position model. Lineage: Bacteria; Bacillati; Bacillota; Bacilli; Lactobacillales; Carnobacteriaceae. The record is from Rfam.